Oncorhynchus tshawytscha (Chinook salmon) is the source of this 1658-nucleotide long non-coding RNA. RefSeq lists it as uncharacterized. The record is from RefSeq and is a predicted model, not a curated record. The transcript is spliced from 3 exons. NCBI's taxonomy places the organism in Eukaryota, Metazoa, Chordata, Actinopteri, Salmoniformes, Salmonidae.
AGAAUGACCAUCUUCUAAGUCCUACAUCUAGAAUCUCAUUUCUGUUACUGUGUCUUUCAGUUGCCUCCUGUCUCUGUUAUACUUGACACACCUGAGCUGUUAUUGGAUUCAUGUAAAACAACAUGGUUUCACGCAGUCUGGAGGAGUUUUACCAUGGUAACAUAUCAACAGACAACUGUUGUUUUCUCAGGUUUGUCCUUUAUAGUUGCUCUAUUUUUUUCAAUGCUGCUUGAAUGUCAUUUCCCCAAAAUGUCUGCCUCUUUGCCUAUUGAGAGAGUUGCUCUUUAAAAGGUAACGUCAUUCACCAUGUAUCAACCAUCCUCCAUUAAAUCUCAUGUAAACAUCCCGAGGAGGCCUGUUGUCUGGCUAUGAUGAAGAAAAUGUGAUUGUGAUGUGUACAAUAUGUUCUGGAGUAGUCGCUACAGAAUACAGCCCAACGGAAGUAGCCUGGCAGGUUAUUGACCCUGAGACAUAUCUAUACAGUACAGUAGAGGGUCAACUGGGUUUGAGGUUUAGUAUCUGUAAUGGGCGCCACUGUUAGCACCCAAAGUAUCAUGCCAUGAUUAUUCCAGUCAGAAUGUAAAUUAGAAUGUUAUGAUGGUGAUUGGUUAGCCUGGGUAUAUCAGUAUGCUUGGACCAUCAUGUCACUCCUUGCCACUUCCUGGCAUCCAAACAUGACAAUGAAUGGAAUGAUGGCACAACACGGAUCUGGGAGCAGCAGGUUAGACACGGAUCUGGGAGCAGCAGGUUAGACACUGAUCUGGGAGCAGCAGGUUAGACACUGAUCUGGGAGCAGCAGGUUAGACACUGAUCUGGGAGCAGCAGGUUAGACACUGAUCUGGGAGCAGCAGGUUAGACACUGAUCUGGGAGCAGCAGGUUAGACACUGAUCUGGGCACUGAUCUGGGAGCAGCAGGUUAGACACUGAUCUGGGAGCAGCAGGUUAGACACUGAUCUGGGAGCAGCAGGUUAGACACUGAUCUGGGAGCAGCAGGUUAGACACUGAUCUGGGAGCAGCAGGUUAGACACUGAUCUGGGAGCAGCAGGUUAGACACUGAUCUGGGAGCAGCAGGUUAGACACUGAUCUGGGAGCAGCAGGUUAGACACUGAUCUGGGAGCAGCAGGUUAGACACUGAUCUGGGAGCUGCAGGUUAGUGUUUGGUGCCAACACGGAGGUUAGACACUGAUCUGGGAGCAGCAGGUUAGACACUGAUCUGGGAGCAGCAGGUUAGACACUGAUCUGGGAGCAGCAGGUUAGACACUGAUCUGGGAGCAGCAGGUUAGACACUGAUCUGGGAGCAGCAGGUUAGACACUGAUCUGGGAGCUGCAGGUUAGACACUGAUCUGGGAGCUGCAGGUUAGUGUUUGGUGCCAACACGGAGGUUAGACACUGAUCUGGGAGCAGCAGGUUAGUGUUUGGUGCCAGUGGUUAGUUUGCUGAAGUGUAGUGUAUAUCUGUUGCUCGUCACUGUCCCCCUUUAACACCAAGCAUGAGGCCUAAAGGCAGCGAUGGACUCGGGUAACGAACUAAUGAAACAGAAGAGAACCCCGUUCUAUCUACGACGUGACCCGUUUUGUCCUGUCAUGGAAACUCAGUGGAUGAGGUCUUCGAGAUUUGAUCGAUUCUGUCUCCCCCCCCCAAAAAAACGUCAAAACGUC